ACACUUUCCAAGCAGAGAGAAGACCACAAUCAAGAAGAUGAUUUCCUCAUGGCUUUUCCAUUGCACUUUGGUUGAGUUAACCCCCUGUGAUUUCCCCAAAUAUGGGAAUCUCAGCUGCAUCAUUUACAGUGGUGGGGUGGGGGAGUCUGCGUUUGCACAACCUCUUG
Molecule: small nuclear RNA, 167 nt
Organism: Protopterus annectens (West African lungfish)
Lineage: Eukaryota; Metazoa; Chordata; Ceratodontiformes; Protopteridae
Product: U1 spliceosomal RNA
Exons: 1
Source: RefSeq, a predicted model, not a curated record